This 161-nucleotide ribosomal RNA is filed under the name uncultured bacterium. Its description in RNAcentral is "partial 16S ribosomal RNA". It matches the Rfam family "Bacterial small subunit ribosomal RNA", at positions 349 to 507 of the family's 1533-position model. The record is from RNAcentral.
UAGCAGUGAGGAAUAUUGGUCAAUGGGCGAGAGCCUGAACCAGCCAUCCCGCGUGCAGGAUGACGGCCCUACGGGUUGUAAACUGCUUUUCUGCAAGAAGAAUGGUCAUUACGAGUAGUGAUUUGACGGUAUUGCAGGAAUAAGCAUCGGCUAACUCUGUG